GGCAGAGAGAGCUCAGCUCCCGUGGUCGAUACCGCAGUGAGAUGAUGCAUUAAUACAUCGACUGUUGUGUCGACAAACGAGGAAAGUCCCCCCACCGUCUGGACAGGUGACCAAACGCAAGUUUGGAGUUGGAGACAACUGGCGCUGGAACAGAAACGACACCACUCACCCUGACCGAUGAGACGUGCGAACUACCCCGCAAGGGACGGGAGUUAACCCGUCGAGGGAGCGGUGAUAUGCGUUGUCUGAUACGUCGAUAACGCACUCAAACCGCAUCAGAUGGAUGAGAAUGGAUGGAACGGCGAAUCCUCACCGGUGCAAGUCCAUGCCAGAAAGGUAGUCCGGACAGGGCGUGGACGCUUAGCCGAAUGCUGAGUUGAACAGAAGGGGGCUUACUCCUCUCAGCC
RNAcentral lists this RNase P RNA (407 nucleotides) under Haloquadratum walsbyi J07HQW1. It matches the Rfam family "Archaeal RNase P". Rfam says of the family: Ribonuclease P (RNase P) is a ubiquitous endoribonuclease, found in archaea, bacteria and eukarya as well as chloroplasts and mitochondria. The record is from RNAcentral. Lineage: Archaea; Methanobacteriati; Methanobacteriota; Halobacteria; Halobacteriales; Haloferacaceae.